AAUGAACGCUGGCGGCAGGCCUAACACAUGCAAGCCGAACGGGUCCUUCGGGACUAGUGGCGGACGGGUGAGUAACGCGUGGGAACGUGCCCCUUGGUACGGAAUAGCCCCGGGAAACUGGGAGUAAUACCGUAUGUGGUCGAGAGACGAAAGAUUUAUCGCCAAGGGAUCGGCCCGCGUUGGAUUAGGUAGUUGGUGGGGUAAUGGCCUACCAAGCCGACGAUCCAUAGCUGGUUUGAGAGGAUGAUCAGCCACACUGGGACUGAGACACGGCCCAGACUCCUACGGGAGGCAGCAGUGGGGAAUCUUAGACAAUGGGGGAAACCCUGAUCUAGCCAUGCCGCGUGAUCGAUGAAGGCCUUAGGGUUGUAAAGAUCUUUCAGGUGGGAAGAUAAUGACUGUACACCAGAAGAAGCCCCGGCUAACUCCGUG
This 432-nucleotide ribosomal RNA is filed under the name uncultured bacterium. RNAcentral describes it as "bacterial SSU rRNA". It matches the Rfam family "Bacterial small subunit ribosomal RNA", at positions 29 to 507 of the family's 1533-position model. The record is from RNAcentral.